GUGAAUCAUCAAAUUUUUGAACGCAUAUUGCGCCUUUUUCGGAAGGCAUGUCUGUUUGAGGGCACCAUUUAACAAAUAAUGUGCAGCGUUUUUUGUUGCACACGUUGAUGAGCUUUCCAAGAAUUUUAAAUUUUUGGUGGCGCAUAAUGAACAGCGUGAAGCUUUUUUUUCAGUUCGAGUGUAGUAAAAUCUUUGCUUGGGUUGUGAUAAGCGUGAUCGCGCAAUUGGGUGUGGCGCGUCUACUAACGCUGCCCCAACGCAACCCUUUC
This 269-nucleotide unclassified non-coding RNA is filed under the name Paraglomerales sp. RNAcentral's name for it is "partial contains 5.8S ribosomal RNA and internal transcribed spacer 2". The stretch from base 1 to 65 matches the Rfam family "5.8S ribosomal RNA", at positions 84 to 154 of the family's 154-position model. The record is from RNAcentral. Lineage: Eukaryota; Fungi; Glomeromycota; Glomeromycetes; Paraglomerales.